Molecule: transfer RNA, 83 nt
Filed under: Canis lupus dingo (dingo)
Lineage: Eukaryota; Metazoa; Chordata; Mammalia; Carnivora; Canidae
Rfam family: tRNA
About the family: Transfer RNA (tRNA) molecules are approximately 80 nucleotides in length. Their secondary structure includes four short double-helical elements and three loops (D, anti-codon, and T loops).
Source: Rfam by way of RNAcentral
GCCUGGGUGGCUCAGUGGUUGAGUAUCUGCCUUCGGCCCAGGGCGUGACCCCGAGGUCGUGGGAUCGAGUCCCACAUCGGGUU